AGCCAAAGGCUCCAUGCCGCGGCAAGUUCUAUGCUAACUAUGCAAGGAUUCAGUUCCCCUGCAGUCUAAAGUGAGCGAAAACUGUAGCCGGCUGUGUGAAGUCUUUGGUCUUUCCCCUCGUUGCGGCACGGUCUAAGUGGAAUUGGUGACACACUCGCCGCGGGUGACAGAGCUUUACUUCCAAGACGGAUCGCACAGAGGAGACACGGAACGGAGCGAGGACAGGGAAGGAGAUUCUACCUCGAGUGUACUUUUGUUUGCUGCGUUACCUUUUCCCGAAUGUGUAGAGUCUGAAUACAGAGAAGAGCAGCAUAAACACGACGGAAAUCGCCAUACGCGCGAGUGUGCACGCAUUUCUUGGUCAACGGCGCGGAAGCUUUUCCACGCACCUUUUACGAGCGACUUUGCAAACGUCGUAAAACGCUCAGAAUCCGCGACACGCUUUGACUCAGCAAUCGUCGAAAGCCGCGAUAUUCCUUCCGUCAUCAACUAAAGCGUGUACCCACCCGAUGAUUUCAGAACUGGACAGGAGACAAACAGCCGUGAAGGAGCUCUCGUGUCAGCAAAAUCUUCGUCAGCUGGACGGGCACGUGAAGGGAACACCGUGAGCGGGUUGACCGUCUCGCGACAGGCUCGGCAGCAGAGAGGGUAUUUUUAUUUAUUAACUACCCCAUACGAGACGAGGUCGCCACCCCAUUACCCGCACCAUCGCCCGCAGAAAAAGGACCUAGGAGAAGGAGUUUACGCCCUUCUGCACUUUCGUUUUUAUUCCUGCUACGCCUCUCCAAAUUACUACAUCAUGUGGCCACCUGCUGCAGACGAAUGACUUGCCACUAGCGCAAGGGAUCAAUCACAAUACGGUAACGCUACGCCGACUAGCCUAUCACAGUAACACGUUUGUGUUUCACAGUGGUUCACAUUACCCCUGAAACGCUGACAUUGUGUCGAGAGAGGAAACGACUGUAGUCAAUACCCCGGUUACCUGCAACUUACACGUCUCUUCAUGUUCCAGGCGCAUCGAGUUCCCGUGGCGGGCCUAAGGUUUCGGAUCCGCCGCUUUCAAAAUUGCGCAGUUAAAACUUCGGUUUCGGCAAAUCCUGUAUUAGGGACACCAUCCGAAAAAACGACGGACAUAAUCAUGUGUUGUCCGCACAGAAUGCCAUCUCUCUACCCCUCCUUGCCUGUACAAGGUCACUAAACGUCCACAAAAGUGUCCGAUGGCAGCGCAAGACUUUCCACUGGGAAGGCCAGAGCGAAGUCUUUGACCGCAGUCGUUUCCGGCAUCGCCAAAGCACCACUUUCCACGGGAAAAAUGUGGCCGUUGUCAAUGAAACGCAAAACGGUUCAUACGUUAUGCUGGUCGCCGUCCUGUUUCCG
Molecule: long non-coding RNA, 1377 nt
Filed under: Toxoplasma gondii VEG
Lineage: Eukaryota; Apicomplexa; Conoidasida; Eucoccidiorida; Sarcocystidae
Source: RNAcentral